This 460-nucleotide ribosomal RNA is filed under the name uncultured bacterium. Its description in RNAcentral is "partial 16S ribosomal RNA". It matches the Rfam family "Bacterial small subunit ribosomal RNA", at positions 338 to 795 of the family's 1533-position model. The record is from RNAcentral.
CCUACGGGUGGCAGCAGUGAGGAAUAUUGGUCAAUGGACGAGAGUCUGAACCAGCCAAGUAGCGUGAAGGAUGACUGCCCUAUGGGUUGUAAACUUCUUUUAUAUGGGAAUAAAAUGUUCCACGUGUGGGAUUUUGUAUGUACCGUAUGAAUAAGGAUCGGCUAACUCCGUGCCAGCAGCCGCGGUAAUACGGAGGAUCCGAGCGUUAUCCGGAUUUAUUGGGUUUAAAGGGAGCGUAGGUGGAUUGUUAAGUCAGUUGUGAAAGUUUGCGGCUCAACCGUAAAAUUGCAGUUGAAACUGGCAGUCUUGAGUACAGUAGAGGUGGGCGGAAUUCGUGGUGUAGCGGUGAAAUGCUUAGAUAUCACGAAGAACUCCGAUUGCGAAGGCAGUUCACUGGACUGCAACUGACACUGAGGCUCGAAAGUGUGGGUAUCAAACAGGAUUAGAUACCCGAGUAGUC